This 76-nucleotide transfer RNA is filed under the name Alphaproteobacteria bacterium. RNAcentral's name for it is "tRNA-Lys". It matches the Rfam family "tRNA". From Rfam's summary of the family: Transfer RNA (tRNA) molecules are approximately 80 nucleotides in length. Their secondary structure includes four short double-helical elements and three loops (D, anti-codon, and T loops). Further hydrogen bonds mediate the characteristic L-shaped molecular structure. tRNAs have two regions of fundamental functional importance: the anti-codon, which is responsible for specific mRNA codon recognition, and the 3' end, to which the tRNAs corresponding amino acid is attached (by aminoacyl-tRNA synthetases). tRNAs cope with the degeneracy of the genetic code in two manners: having more than one tRNA (with a specific anti-codon) for a particular amino acid; and 'wobble' base-pairing, i.e. permitting non-standard base-pairing at the 3rd anti-codon position. The record is from RNAcentral. Lineage: Bacteria; Pseudomonadati; Pseudomonadota; Alphaproteobacteria.
GACAGCUUAGCUCAGCCGGUAGAGCACGUGACUUUUAAUCAUGUGGCCCCGGGUUCGAAUCCCGGAGCUGUCACCA